UUCUCUAUGAACUGUUUACAAUCGGAGGAGUUUAUACAUACAGAGCUUUCUCGACGGGAGAGACAAUCAUGCAAGAGAUGAUUGCACCUAGGGCCGCGAAAAUUCACCAUAAGUAUCGCAACUACCAGGGUGGUUCAUCUUGGAAAGGUCAAUGACCGGGUGGUUGUUAGAAAUUUGGUCAACACGGCUAGGAUUUGGUCUUUGGAAAGGAGGAAGAACGUACCGUUCAGGAAUAAUCAAGUAAUCAAUGUGUCAAUGACAAGGUCAUAUGUUUAGUCAAAGUUGUAAAAUUCCCUGGUGGUGUUUAACAAACUGCAGGAAAAAGCAAUUGGAUUUCAGAUAAGUGUUUCUCCUUUUCGUUAUUUUUUCGUGUCAAUAAAUGCAAAUAUUUGCUUGUGCGAUAACGAACUAACUAACUGACUGACUGACUGACUGACUAACUUGACGGUUUUAUGUUAUUGCAAAGCUGGGAAAGGAAUGAUAUGGGGAUGGUACAUCACUUUACAGUUUUUGCAAGUAACAGGAUACAUUUUUUUAAAAACUUUUAAGUUUUAUUUUGAAUUAAUAUUUUUUUAAUCAAUAGUUGCAAACCAUUUGCAUUAUUUAUUAUUAUCUUCGUAUCUUGUUAGACAUGUUGCAAACCAGUUGCAAACCAUUGAAUCUGAAUUAUCACUUUAUCAGACUUUUGGAGGUAUUUGCAGAAACAGCCCCAAACUAUAUAAACAUGUUUUGAAACUAUAGUCAAGUAGUCAACAACUAAAGGGUAAAAUGGUAAAGUCAACAACCAAAGGUAAAAUAUUCCUUUUCUUAAUUAAGACCCUUUUCACAAAGAAUGACUAGUUAUGUGUUAACUGAUUUUUUUUAAUGCAACCUUCUCUUUUGAUGGAUUUUAAACUUUUAUGAUCAAACUGAAAAUUCAAACUUUAUUGGGGGUGUUUUUAACUUUUUAUAUGUUUUGGAAUACCAAGGGUACAAAAUGUAAUUCACUUUAUUGGGGGUUCAUUGUUUUUGACAUUUUGUUCAACUUGAAGAAGAAAUUAUAUUUAUCCAUUUCCUUAUCCAUAUAUUGUUUUUGACAUGUUGCAAACCAGUUGCAAAGCCACACCCGCUCAUGCCCACUUGAUCAUAACACACAAGCCAAACAUAGAAUUUUACUUAGAUGUUCAAAUAGAGAAUAAUGAAUAGUGUGGUGCAUUAACAUCUAAUUUCCAAUAACUAAUGUUGACUUAUAAAAUCAAACAUAAAGAUGUGGGAUGGGUGACGACUGACGAGUAGUAUUAAGAUCGUAAAAAAGACACCAUUAAUUAAAAUGACAAGGAACCCUUAGUUUGAAUGAUAAUUAUUUACAAGAAUUAUAUUAUUUCGAGUAAAUUGCCAUUUUAGUCCAUGAGGUUUGACCAAAAUUGCCAUUUUAAUCCAAAUAGUUUUUUUCUUGCCAUUUUAGUCUAAAUAGUUUUGU
Long non-coding RNA from Helianthus annuus (common sunflower), 1459 nucleotides. RefSeq lists it as uncharacterized. The record is from RefSeq and is a predicted model, not a curated record. The transcript is spliced from 3 exons. Lineage: Eukaryota; Viridiplantae; Streptophyta; Magnoliopsida; Asterales; Asteraceae.